CCUACGGGUGGCAGCAGUGAGGAAUAUUUGUCAAUGGACGAGAGUCUGAACCAGCCACGUAGCGUGAAGGAUGAAUGCCCUAUGGGUUGUAAACUUCUUUUAUAAAGGAAUAAAACGAGGCACGUGUGCCUUUUUGCAUGUACUUUAUGAAUCAGGCUCGGCUAACUCCGAGCCAGCAGCCGCGGUAAUACGGAGGAUCCGGGCGUUAUCCGGAUUUAUUGGGUAUAAAGGGAGCGUAGAUGGGUUGUGAUGGGAGUUGUGAAAGUUUGCGUCUCAACCGUAAAAUUGCAAUUGAGACUGGCAGUCUUGAGUACAGUAGAGGUAGGCGGAAUUCGUGGUGUAGCGGUGAAAUGCGUAGAUAUCACGAAGAACCCCGAUUGCGAAGGCAGCUUACUAAACUGGGACUGACAUUGAUGCUCGAAAGUGUGGGUAUCAAACAGGAUUAGAUACCCUGGUAGUC
Molecule: ribosomal RNA, 460 nt
Filed under: uncultured bacterium
Lineage: Bacteria
Description: partial 16S ribosomal RNA
Rfam family: Bacterial small subunit ribosomal RNA
Source: RNAcentral